AGUCACUGACAUUAGAUACCCGUGUAGUCCAGGGUGUAAACGCUGCAGACUUGGUGUUGGGAACCCUUCGGGGGUGCUCAGUGCCGGAGAGAAGUUGUUAAGUCUGCUACUUGGGGAGUACGUCCGCAAAGGAUGAAACUUAAAGGAAUUGGCGGGGGAGCACCGCAACGGGAGGAGCGUGCGGUUUAAUUGGAUUCAACGCCGAAAAACUCACCAGCAGCGACUGUUACAUGAAAGUCAGGUUGAUGACCUUACUAGAUUUUCAG
This 266-nucleotide ribosomal RNA is filed under the name uncultured archaeon. RNAcentral describes it as "partial 16S ribosomal RNA". It matches the Rfam family "Archaeal small subunit ribosomal RNA", at positions 717 to 982 of the family's 1478-position model. The record is from RNAcentral.